RNAcentral lists this ribosomal RNA (1391 nucleotides) under uncultured bacterium. RNAcentral describes it as "16S ribosomal RNA". It matches the Rfam family "Bacterial small subunit ribosomal RNA". The record is from RNAcentral.
AGAGUUUGAUCCUGGCUCAGGAUGAACGCUAGCGACAGGCUUAACACAUGCAAGUCGAGGGGCAUCAUGAGGUAGCAAUACCUUGAUGGCGACCGGCGCACGGGUGAGUAACGCGUAUGCAACCUGCCUGAUACCGGGGUAUAGCCCAUGGAAACGUGGAUUAACACCCCAUAGUACUUUUAUCCUGCAUGGGAUGUGAGUUAAAUGUUUAAGGUAUCGGAUGGGCAUGCGUCCUAUUAGUUAGUUGGCGGGGUAACAGCCCACCAAGACGAUGAUAGGUAGGGGUUCUGAGAGGAAGGUCCCCCACAUCGGAACUGAGACACGGUCCAAACUCCUACGGGAGGCAGCAGUGUGGAAUAUUGGUCAAUGGACGCGAGUCUGAACCAGCCAAGUAGCGUGAAGGAUGACUGCCCUAUGGGUUGUAAACUUCUUUUAUAUGGGAAUAAAGUGGUCCACGUGUGGACUUUUGUAUGUACCAUAUGAAUAAGGAUCGGCUAACUCCGUGCCAGCAGCCGCGGUAAUACGGAGGAUCCGAGCGUUAUCCGGAUUUAUUGGGUUUAAAGGGAGCGUAGGCGGAUUGUUAAGUCAGUUGUGAAAGUUUGCGGCUCAACCGUAAAAUUGCAGUUGAUACUGGCAGUCUUGAGUGCAGUAGAGGUGGGCGGAAUUCGUGGUGUAGCGGUGAAAUGCUUAGAUAUCACGAAGAACUCCGAUUGCGAAGGCAGCUCACUGGAGUGUAACUGACGCUGAUGCUCGAAAGUGUGGGUAUCAAACAGGAUUAGAUACCCUGGUAGUCCACACAGUAAACGGUGAAUACUCGCUGUUUGCGAUAUACAGUAAGCGGCCAAGCGAAAGCAUUAAGUAUUCCACCUGGGGAGUACGCCGGCAACGGUGAAACUCAAAGGAAUUGACGGGGGCCCGCACAAGCGGAGGAACAUGUGGUUUAAUUCGAUGAUACGCGAGGAACCUUACCCGGGCUUAAAUUGCAAAUGAAUUAUGGGGAAACCCAUACGCCGCAAGGCAUUUGUGAAGGUGCUGCAUGGUUGUCGUCAGCUCGUGCCGUGAGGUGUCGGCUUAAGUGCCAUAACGAGCGCAACCCUUAUCUUCAGUUACUAACAGGUCAUGCUGAGGACUCUGGAGAGACUGCCGUCGUAAGAUGUGAGGAAGGUGGGGAUGACGUCAAAUCAGCACGGCCCUUACGUCCGGGGCUACACACGUGUUACAAUGGGGGGUACAGAAGGCCGCUACCUGGUGACAGGAUGCCAAUCCCAAAAACCUCUCUCAGUUCGGAUCGAAGUCUGCAACCCGACUUCGUGAAGCUGGAUUCGCUAGUAAUCGCGCAUCAGCCAUGGCGCGGUGAAUACGUUCCCGGGCCUUGCACACACCGCCCGUCA